Molecule: ribosomal RNA, 941 nt
Filed under: Escherichia coli
Lineage: Bacteria; Pseudomonadati; Pseudomonadota; Gammaproteobacteria; Enterobacterales; Enterobacteriaceae
Description: partial 23S ribosomal RNA
Rfam family: Bacterial large subunit ribosomal RNA
Source: RNAcentral
UAAUGAUGGCCAGGCUGUCUCCACCCGAGACUCAGUGAAAUUGAACUCGCUGUGAAGAUGCAGUGUACCCGCGGCAAGACGGAAAGACCCCGUGAACCUUUACUAUAGCUUGACACUGAACAUUGAGCCUUGAUGUGUAGGAUAGGUGGGAGGCUUUGAAGUGUGGACGCCAGUCUGCAUGGAGCCGACCUUGAAAUACCACCCUUUAAUGUUUGAUGUUCUAACGUUGGCCCGUAAUCCGGGUUGCGGACAGUGUCUGGUGGGUAGUUUGACUGGGGCGGUCUCCUCCUAAAGAGUAACGGAGGAGCACGAAGGUUGGCUAAUCCUGGUCGGACAUCAGGAGGUUAGUGCAAUGGCAUAAGCCAGCUUGACUGCGAGCGUGACGGCGCGAGCAGGUGCGAAAGCAGGUCAUAGUGAUCCGGUGGUUCUGAAUGGAAGGGCCAUCGCUCAACGGAUAAAAGGUACUCCGGGGAUAACAGGCUGAUACCGCCCAAGAGUUCAUAUCGACGGCGGUGUUUGGCACCUCGAUGUCGGCUCAUCACAUCCUGGGGCUGAAGUAGGUCCCAAGGGUAUGGCUGUUCGCCAUUUAAAGUGGUACGCGAGCUGGGUUUAGAACGUCGUGAGACAGUUCGGUCCCUAUCUGCCGUGGGCGCUGGAGAACUGAGGGGGGCUGCUCCUAGUACGAGAGGACCGGAGUGGACGCAUCACUGGUGUUCGGGUUGUCAUGCCAAUGGCACUGCCCGGUAGCUAAAUGCGGAAGAGAUAAGUGCUGAAAGCAUCUAAGCACGAAACUUGCCCCGAGAUGAGUUCUCCCUGACUCCUUGAGGGUCCUGAAGGAACGUUGAAGACGACGACGUUGAUAGGCCGGGUGUGUAAGCGCAGCGAUGCGUUGAGCUAACCGGUACUAAUGAACCGUGAGGCUUAACCUUACAACGCCGAAG